GAAAUGCGAUAAGUAAUGUGAAUUGCAGAAUUCAGUGAAUCAUCGAAUCUUUGAACGCACAUUGCGCCCGCCAGCAUUCUGGCGGGCAUGCCUGUUCGAGCGUCAUUUCAACCCUCGACUUCCCUUUGGGGAAAUCGGUGUUGGGGAUCGGCAGCACUAGCCGGCCCCGAAAUGGAGUGGCGGCCCGUCCGCGGCGACCUCUGCGUAGUAACUCAACCUCGCACCGGAACCCCGACGUGGCCACGCCGUAAAACACCCAACUUUCUGAACGUUGACCUCGGAUCAGGUAGGAAUACCCGCUGAACUUAA
This 309-nucleotide unclassified non-coding RNA is filed under the name fungal sp. Its description in RNAcentral is "partial contains 5.8S ribosomal RNA, internal transcribed spacer 2, and large subunit ribosomal RNA". The stretch from base 1 to 105 matches the Rfam family "5.8S ribosomal RNA", at positions 50 to 154 of the family's 154-position model. Lineage: Eukaryota; Fungi. RNAcentral also lists the same sequence under 1 other name. The record is from RNAcentral.